CCUACGGGUGGCAGCAGUGGGGAAUAUUGGGCAAUGGGCGCAAGCCUGACCCAGCAACGCCGCGUGAGUGAAGAAGGACCUCGGGUUGUAAACUUCUUUUGGCAGGGACGAAGAAAGUGACGGUAGCUGACGAAGAAGCCACUGCUAACUACGUGCCAGCAGCCGUGGUAAUAAGUAGGAGGGAAGCGUUAUUCGGAUUUACUGGGUGCACAGGGCGCGUAGGCGGGGAAGACAGUCAGAUGUGAAAUCCCAGGGCUCAACCCGGGAACUGCUUUUGAAAACGUGUUGCGUGAGUGAAGGAGAGGCAAGCGGAAUUCCGGGUGUAGCGGUGAAAUGCGUAGAUAGUCGGAGGAACACCAGUGGCGAAGGCGGCCUUCUGGACUGUAACUGACGCUGAGGCGCGAAAGCGUGGGGAGCAAACAGGAUUAGAUACCCGAGUAGUC
Molecule: ribosomal RNA, 443 nt
Filed under: uncultured bacterium
Lineage: Bacteria
Description: partial 16S ribosomal RNA
Rfam family: Bacterial small subunit ribosomal RNA
Source: RNAcentral